RNAcentral lists this microRNA (22 nucleotides) under Brachionus plicatilis. RNAcentral's name for it is "Bpl-Mir-12593_3p (mature (guide))". Lineage: Eukaryota; Metazoa; Rotifera; Eurotatoria; Ploima; Brachionidae. The record is from RNAcentral.
ACAUUCUCUUAGAUAGUGGCCU